CUUCCUGGGUAGGGACUAGCCGGGCGGCGCUGCGGCUCACUGGGGGCGCGCGUCCCGCUCUUCAACGGGCCUUCCGGUCCGUGAGCGCGUUCGAACCGAUACCGCUCUGCGGAGCUCAAGUUCGACCUCGGUGUCGGAGACGAACAGACAGGUUUAGAACUCAAGCUUCGACCUGCGCCGGCUGAGCAGCUUUCUGACAGCCACUCCUCCCGCCGUCUUCGGGGAGGCCGUGCUCAGGGGGCCUGUCCUCUGCGUCCCCUCGCCUCCACCUCUCUCUUUACUUAGAUUAAGUUGGCUGUGGGUGACGCUUAGUGUAAUUCCUAGUCCCGAUGAAGAUGCGGGCGCAAAGAGGCCCCGCAACUCACCCAAGAGCGCGCAGCAAGCAAUCAGCAGUUGGAAUUUCUGCUGAGCACUUAAGGCACGGCAGCCUGUGGGACCCUCAUCCCAGCCCUCGGAUUGGACGGUCAUCCCGCGGCUGCGUCCUGUCCGUUCCAUGAAAAUGUCAGCGCUGCCUGGAACAGUGUGCUCUUCCCAUCCACCCAUCCGUUCAAUAAACAUUGGUUUGCACCUGCUCUGAGCCGGACACUCCACGAUGCAGGCUUAAGUACAAAGUCUGCAGCCUUAACAAGCUUAGUCCUUAGUUGGGAAGCUUGCGAUGGUGAGGUGUGCAAGCCCCGAGCAGGCCACCUGAAACAGCUGGAGAGCCUAGGAAGGCACCAGGAGAUGAUAUGGUAAUGCCCACACGGAACCCUGAUGGCAGGCUAACGUCCUUAGGAGAAGAUGGUGCUUUGCCAUGUCGCAGGUGCGGAAACUGAGGCCCUAAAGGAGGAUGGAGUUUGUCCAAAAUCACAAAUUGAGCAAAUGCCUUUCCAGGCGUAGACGGCAGGUCCAGCGUGCAAAGAAACUGGACCUGGCCGCAGAGUCAGGCAGUUCCUUCUGUUUCAGCAGAAGAUGAUGUAGCAGGCCAGGCUCCAAGGUGCGUGAAGGUCAGUGAGGCCACAGCAGUAGACUUGAUUAUCAUGCCUGCCCAGCACCCUUCUUACCUCCUGACCCCCCUCACUCUCAUUUUCUGUAGAGAACCACCCUUCCCCCUCUGGGCACCACAUGGCUUAAAUGGGUUGGCCCUCCCUCAGCUUCGUUUCCGGGAUGGACACGGGACCUUGGCCUGGCCGAUCAGUGUCCUCUCGUCCCCAGAAUAGUGAUUGGUUCAGAAAUGUGAGCGGACAGUCCAGUGACACUUAGUCCUGCACCUUUACGGGAAAUAACAGGAAAGAGCCUUGGUCCUGGGUCUCCGCGUCAUCUUUUCCGCUUCAUGGGAAGGCUCCACCUGAGGGUGGAGCCUGCACAGAGGACAGGUCAGCUGGCAGAGACCCCUGAGGCAGUCCUUUACGUCCCCAGCCCCAGCCAGCUUGCCCCACUUGCAGGGUGAGCAGGGCAGACCCUGGGGCCUAAGAGCUUGAGUUAGGGCCCCCUCCAUGGGCCUGAGAGUGACACAGGCAAGGUCCGGGGCGGACGCCGCGCCCCGGCCUGUGCUGUGCGGGCCCUGGCCCGCCUGCCUGCCGGCUGGCCCACCCUCUCACGCCAACCCCCUGACCCUUGCUCUUUCAGCGCCUGUCCCUUGACCCCUCAUGUCUUCAUCCAGGCCGAAUCAUCUCAGCCUCUUGGUUUCCAACACUUCUGCUCCCUCUUUGCUUUGAAGUCUUUCACAUCUGACCUUUGAACCCCCAAGUCCAGGUCAAGCCUGCCUCUGCCUUCUCCACACCUUGAGAAGACUGCUGAGUAUACAGCAGUCUGUGGAGCCACGCGCCCAUCAUGUUCUCCAGCCUCAGCUGAGCGCUCAGAGCAUGUCCUCAACUGAUAGAACAUUUAAUAACGGCCCAUCAAACAGUGAAGCAGCGGCAUGAGGACAGACGCAGGCCUACGGGAUAAAACGGAGCGUCCAGAAAUAAGCCUCAGCGUGCGAGCAAGGGGGCCACGGCCACUCGCAGGGGAAAGCUGAAACUGUAAUUAGGUUUUGGUGACUUUGGGCUUAGCAGAAGCGACUGUACUUGGGGCCUGUUGUGUUGUUUCUUAAUUUCCUCCUCCUGACCGAUUCUCAGCCUGAGAGAUGCGAUGGAAAUUUAAGGCCUUAGCGCUACUCCCAGCCACCGCUCUGGAGCCCUUGCAGCUUCCCCUGAACCUCUGCGGUGCUCACAGCUCACGACGUCGGGUUCACAUUCUUUACCUCAGUAAUUCAUUCUUUUUCUGACGCUUCUGUCUCAGGGAGAUCAUUUGCUUGGUGGCUAGUGGCUGCGAACGUGCAUUUAAAGCUUUUGAGAGAAUACAAUGCACUGUGAAGAUUGUGAUGAUGAUUGUAAGCAAUAUAAUCCCCAGGGUCUGGGGUGCACUUCAGAGCCAUGACCCCCAAGAUCCAAACCAGUCACGCUCAAAGCCAGAGAAAGUCCCUGUUGAGGGAGGCCCCCUUGUAAGCUACCUGGCUUCAUCUCUGGUCUCAUAUUCCCGCAUUCUCGUCAGCAUUUGGAAUGACCUCCCUUUCCGACUGUGGCCAGGCGCACUGGUACACUUGUUAUUUCAUCUCCAGGUUGAUUUCUGGGGGCAGAAGGGAAGAUGAUUAUGCUGGCACCUUGGAAGUGGUGCAAAGAACACAGCCAAGUAACGUUGAUCCACAUAGUGAGAACGUUACUGCCUUCUUAACCCUUUUUUUUUUAACCCUUUUUUUUUUUGGCUGCACAGCUUGGACCGAACCGUGAUCCCUGACCAGGGAUUAAAUCCCGGUUCACCGCAGUAAAAGCCCACGUCGUAACCAUUGUCUGGCCAGGGAAUUCCUGCGCCUUUUUAAUUCUAAUUCCGUGAAUCUUAGGGGGUGGAGUGUGACUCUCCGUUUUUAAUACUUGCUAGUCUCACUUUUUAUUGAGACUUUUGUGGGUCCCAGCUAUUUGUGGAAAGUGAUAGUGUUUUUCCGUAUAUGGGGAAAUACUUUUAUUUAAGUCAGCCUUAAAGCUGUGUCUGCCUGGAUCUUGCGUGAAUGGUGAAGGCGGCUCAUGGCACUGGGUUUGGAGACAGCUGGCAUGAAACGGGGGUCGGCUGGCAGGGAGCGGAGGCUGAGCAAGCCUCCUCUCGCGGCCCUCCUCCCUCUGCCGGGGACUAGCCCCAGCAGCACCACCGAGGGCUGUCAGGAGAGUUCAGUGAGGGCCUGGCCCCGGGCCUGAGCUGGAAGCGGCGCAGAAAGUGGCAUUCGCGCUCGCAGCCCAGAGGCCCAGGCUUGCCCCUGCCGCCUGCCCGCUCCUGCCCGCUGUGUGCGCUGCCUUCCAGUCGUCCUGCCCGGCUUUGCCCCGAGGACUCUCCUGGGAAUUGCUGUGCAGCCUGAGGCAGAAAGCGGGGCUGGGGCUGGGGUCAGGUCAGCCAGCCUUCUCUGCUGGGGCCUCUCUCCAUGCCAGCAGACAUGCCCCACUGCGGCGGGGGAACAGCUGAAGGCUGCGGGUCCCCAGGGCUCUGGCUGCACCCCCGUCCCACGGUGUCACGUGGCAGCGGGGUCAGAGGUCAGGGGAGCGUGGUCUGACCAGAGGACAGGCCGUCGGGCUGUUUCUGGUGUAUCAGACUGUGAUCCUCUGACCAGGUGGGAGGGAAUUAUGAGCCAUUCCCUAACUUAAUAAAUGUGAAAAUAGA
Molecule: long non-coding RNA, 3666 nt
Organism: Capra hircus (goat)
Lineage: Eukaryota; Metazoa; Chordata; Mammalia; Artiodactyla; Bovidae
Exons: 2
Source: RefSeq, a predicted model, not a curated record